CACGUAGGGGGCAAGCGUUGUCCGGAUUUAUUGGGCGUAAAGAGCUCGUAGGCGGUUCGGUAAGUCGGGUGUGAAACCUCCAGGCUCAACCUGGAGACGCCACCCGAUACUGCUGUGACUAGAGUCCGGUAGGGGAGCGUGGAAUUCCUGGUGUAGCGGUGAAAUGCGCAGAUAUCAGGAGGAACACCAGCGGCGAAGGCAGCUCUCUGGGCCGGUACUGACGCUGAGGAGCGAAAGCGUGGGGAGCAAACAGG
This 254-nucleotide ribosomal RNA is filed under the name uncultured bacterium. RNAcentral describes it as "partial 16S ribosomal RNA". It matches the Rfam family "Bacterial small subunit ribosomal RNA", at positions 524 to 776 of the family's 1533-position model. The record is from RNAcentral.